CUACGGGUGGCUGCAGUGAGGAAUAUUGCGCAAUGGGGGCAACCCUGACGCAGCGACGCCGCGUGGAUGAUGAAGGCCUUCGGGUCGUAAAAUCCUGUCAGAUGGAAAGAAGUGCGAGGUGGUUAAUACCCAUUUCGUUUGACGGUACCAUCAGAGGAAGCACCGGCUAACUCCGUGCCAGCAGCCGCGGUAAUACGGAGGGUGCAAGCGUUGUUCGGAAUUACUGGGCGUAAAGCGCGCGUAGGCGGUUUGUUAAGUCAGAUGUGAAAGCCCACGGCUCAACCGUGGACGUGCAUUUGAAACUGGCAGACUUGAGUAUUGGAGGGGGUGGUGGAAUUCCCGGUGUAGAGGUGAAAUUCGUAGAUAUCGGGAGGAAUACCGGUGGCGAAGGCGACCACCUGGCCAAAUACUGACGCUGAGGUGCGAAAGCGUGGGGAGCAAACAGGAUUAGAUACCCUUGUAGUC
RNAcentral lists this ribosomal RNA (465 nucleotides) under uncultured bacterium. Its description in RNAcentral is "partial 16S ribosomal RNA". It matches the Rfam family "Bacterial small subunit ribosomal RNA", at positions 339 to 795 of the family's 1533-position model. The record is from RNAcentral.